ACGUAUAACUUAUACGGAUUUAUGGGCAUUUACGCAUCCGUACUUGUUCAAAAUUUAUAAUAAGCAAGUUUCCGGUCUAAUCGCAAGGUCAAAAAUAAAAUUUGUAAAGUUGUAAAAUGAACUAUGUUUACUAUCAGCGAUUGACGAGUAAUCUGAUUUAGAACCAUAUGAUAGAAAACUAUGCUUAGAUUCCGAAGAUCAGGACUAAGAAAAUUUGAUAUAUUCGUGGCUGUAGUGUUGGGUGUCAUCACGGGAAAUUAUAUCUGGAAGCCUGUUUUUGAAAAACAAAUUCAUAAGAAGGAAGUUAAAGAACCAGAAUUACUUGUAAACGACUUAAGUUCAGAACUAGAUUCUAGUGAAGCAUAAAUUUCAAAAUUGACAAAAGGAAAGCUCACCUAUGUGAAAGGAAGAGCAUACAAGCCUAACUAGGAAUUGAUACAAAGAGCCUGUAACUUAUAUAGUAUCUGACAAUAGUUUAAAAUGACAAGUACAACUUUGCUUCAAAAGGCUUCAAAAAUAUCACCAUUUGUGUUUUACUUUUCAUUUACAUUGUUUGGUUAUCUUUACAAAAAGAAAGGUCAAUAUUAUGGUGCACAGAGAGAAGUUGAAGGUCUCCUGAAGAGACGACAGCAUACAAGUUAACAGUUCUUGUCUUCUGGAAAAAGUAGAUACACAGAAUAUUUGUGACUUUUGAAUUUCAAUAUAUGUUUCAGAAAGUUAAUACAUAAAAUUAAAUUUAACUAUUGUGUUGU
RNAcentral lists this long non-coding RNA (752 nucleotides) under Mytilus galloprovincialis (Mediterranean mussel). The record is from RNAcentral. Lineage: Eukaryota; Metazoa; Mollusca; Bivalvia; Mytilida; Mytilidae.